CCUUCGCCUGCCUGCCUACCACCCAAUCCCAAAUGGGUGCUGGAUCAGGUGCCGAAUCUGGCUGCCUCCUCGGGUCCUCCUUCUCAUCACUUCUUAGGCAUGGAGAGAUGAAGGACAGAUGGAGUACCGCACAAGGAUACAAUGGAGGAAGCAGGCCAUGACUAAGACCCCAAGGAUGAAGAAUGGAGAGCCCUGACCGUCCUCCUGGCCUCCAGUCAUUUCCCCACUGAAGAUGGCCGUACCCUCUAGCCUGGGAGGACCAUGGCCCAACAAUGGCAGUGGGAGAGAAGAUGACUCUGUGGAGGACACUCUCCGUUAUCUGUGAUGACAUACACCAGCCCCCGAACAAUUUAACCUCAAGCUGCCCUCUGCAAGACUUCGGUAGCACUGGACUUCCCUCAUUCCUGGUAGGCAGAGGUUGUUAGCCAUCAGCCUGGAAGAUCUGAAGGAAAAUUUGGCUUUGGGUAAAGUCAAAGGGGAUGGCUCUCAGAGAUAAGGCCAGUUCAUGAGAAGUAAGCAGGGCUUUGCUACCUGUGCAGGGCAGAGCUGCCCUGGGCUGGGGGGAGUUCUGAUGUCAACAUCUCUGGAGGCAGAUGACAACUUCAGAAGAGGCAAAAUUUCCCCAGGAGAAAAGAAAACAGGAGGUCUUCAGUCAACAUGGAGUUUGAAGCCGCCCAUGGCUGAAGCUCAGAAUACUCUGGAGAGCUGAGAGUCCUUCUUCAGCGGCUGGGCCGUUCUGCAGCAGCUGCAGCCGCCUCUGGGCCUGGGCGUCCCGGUGGGCAGGCGUGCGUAGGUGUUGCAGCAAGGCUAGGCGGGAGGGCGUGUCCCAGGCGCACAACAGGCAGUGGUAAAGCCCGGGCUCCGGCCCUGCCUCUGCUCCCUCCAUUUCCAGCAGAAACUAGAAGCAUGGAAGAGGCCAGCUCAGAUGUAGAAGGCACACCUCCAGACCUCUGGGGGCUGUUCCUCCUCGCUUAGACUCUUUCAUGCCUGGGUGGCCUCCCUCCACCCUGCUAUGGCUUCCCAUCUGCUUCUCCUCUCCAUUUCCUUCUUUCUCCCAUCAGUCCUGGGUCCCCCAGUGUGUGGCUGGGAGUUGCUUCUGUCCUGGAUACCAUGAUGGCUGGACUGAGAUGGCCUCAUCCCUAUAGCAUGCUAGAACAGCUAAAUCAAGUCUGUUUCUCCUCCUCGGAGCCCACUGCCCUUUGGCCUCUCUCCAGGUCUGCCCAGCACUCUGCUACCCUGUUCUUCAUGUCCAUCACCACAGGUUUCUCCUCCACCUCUCUGCGCUGCGUCUCCCACCCUACCCUGUCCCUCCUCCCUCUCCCGCCCCCUCCUGCCUGAACGUCACCUUAUAGAUCUGGCUGUUUUCUUCGUGGGCUGAACCCCGGGUGUGCAGCUGCAUCUUCUCCUUGCUGUUGGACUCGAAGUCACAGAUGUUGCAGCGCAGGUGAAGUGGGGAGAUGGAGCCGUAAGAAGCCCCAUCCCCCAGGGCCAGUAGGGAAGGGGUGCCCAUGGCUCCGCCCCCCUCCCGGAGGUGGGCUGCUAGCUGGUAUUUCUGAGUGUGUUUGUCGGUCUUGAGGUGGAGCUGGAAGUUGGCCUUGAGCUGGGUGCCAUAGCAGCAGAGCUUGCAGCGGUGGGUAUCCCCAGCUACCUCCUUCCAUUCGGCCUCCGGCAGGCUCCGGCCAAUGCUGCAGUGGUACAGCAGCAGCUCCAGGCUGUCUGUGCUGAAAGCCUGGCACACCAGGCAGCGGAACACCUUCAGGGCUGGGCUGUCAUCUGGGGAUGGCGAAGUGGGCAGCCCAUCAGAUGAGGAGCCCAGGAGCUGACUUGGUGGCAGAUGGGUCUCAGGGGAGAGGCUGCCAGGGGCUGGGGGGGACAGAGACAGAUUAGGAAGAAAUGAGCGGGGCACUUAGGAUAAGCUGUGUUUACCUAAGUGGGGAGAUGACCUUUGGGAGAAGGCAGGGAAUACAAUUGGACUUGGGUACGAAGUGGCAGGAGCAGAGAGGGGACUUACCAGCUGUGGGGAACUUGCGGGCAGGCGCUCCAAGGUGGUGGAAACCAUUUAGGAGUAGCUGGGCUUCAAGGGGCUUGUCUGGCCUCAGCCCGGGCCCAGGCAUGGGUGUCUGAGGCUGUCCUAGGGCCUGGGGCCCAAAGUACUGGAAGAGUUCAGGAGGGUUGGUGGGGGCAGCCCCUGGUGGGGGAGGAGGUCCUGGCCCCACCAGCCCUGGUGGCAGGCCAAGUGGCAGCCCCUGGUGCAACAUCAGGACGUUCUGCAUGUGUUUCUCAGAAGUCAUGUGGAUGCGCAGGUUUCGGGAGAUGUUGGUUUCGUAGCUGCACACUUUGCACUGCCAGGAUGACUUGGUCUUGGGCUCUUUAUCCCCGACAGAGGUGGGUGGGAGGGAUGCCUCCGGGGGACUCGCCUGCCCGCCAGGCCCUGCCUGGAAGCCCUGCAGGUUGGCCAGGUGCUUGUCGGACUGCAUGUGGAUGCUGAGGUUGCCUUUGGUGGUGGUGGAGUAGUUGCAGACAUCGCAGCGGUAGGGCUUGUAGCCGCAGUUGUAGCUCUCUCCGCGGGCCAGGCGGGGGUGGGCGCCCCCGGCGCUACAGUAGCUGCAGUGGCUGUUGCUCUCGGGGUGCUUCUCCCGCAUGUGCACGUCCAGGGUCUGCUGGUACUUGUAGUGCCAGUUGCACUUGGGACACUUGAGAGUCUUGCAGGAAUUGCGUGAGUGUAGCAGGGACAUGUGACUGGACAGGCUGAGGCCCUGGAAGGCGGCAGGGGCUGGAGUGUAGUCAUCGGCCAGGCGACAGGACGGAGGUGGGUCACUGGUAUCUUCGGGAGAGCCUGCUGGAGCUGGGAGCACGGCCACCUCCUUAGAGGUGGGUGAGCUUUGGUUGAGCGGGAGGCAGAGCCCUCCAUCCUCUUCCUGCCCCUCAGGGAACCAGUCUGGCCCCGCCUCGCCUCUUGGUACUGGCGAAUCUUUGGCUUGGGUUGGGCUGGGGUCCCAGGUGGCUAGGGCUGUGGGUGGGGAUGGUGGGCUGAGGGCUAUAACCUCUUCAGCGGGGAGAACAAGGGCUUGACCAUCUGCCUCUGGGGGGCCGUCCUCAGCCUGGGCUCCAUUUGUCUUCACAGUCACUGUGCUGGUGUCCGGUACUUCGGGAGAAGGACGGGCAGCCAGAGACGGCGCUGAGGUAUCGUGGGACAACAUUUGGUCAGAAGAGCUAAAGCCUUGGAUUGGGUCGAAGCCAUGUUGGAUGUGAAGGGUGGUAAGGUGUGAGGAGGGGAAGUGGGUGAGGAGGGGCAGGCUGGGCUCUUCCUUGGCGCUUGCCUCAUCCCAGGGGAAGCCCUUUGGUAACGAGAGUUCACUGCCCCUAGGCAGGGGCAGGUUGGCCAGUAGGUAGGCCUGGCCUCCAGCUGCGAAGAAUAAGUGGCUGCUGAGGUCCAAAGGAAGGAUCUCUUCCUCCUCCUUUGCCACCCCAAGGUCCUUUGGUGGGAUGUGGCCACAGCCAGGCUCUUCUUGGGGCUCUCCAAUCUCCUUUGGUGGGUCAAGGUCACUGCCUGACUCCAGACGCUCUCCCCCCGGCUCUGAGGACCUUAUGCUCUCAGAGGUGGAGGGGGCAUCAGGGGGAUCUUUGGUGACAGGAUCAGAGGUGCUGGAGGAGGAGGUCUCUGGAGGUGGUGACCGAACAUUGUGCCCAGGGGAAGGAACGGUUCCGGAGGGAGAGGCUGAGUUAAGGGUAGCCAUGGUAGACGGAGGACUGCUGAGGGUUCAUUUCAGCGUGACAGCCAGUACCCUGCAUGGAGGCAUGGGGAGAGCAGUGCCGUAAGAUCUCGGGGUCCCCAGCAAGGCUGAAUGUCUGGACUCUUUAGCCCUACUAUGCUCAGACUCAGGUGCCCCCAUGCCAACUUGAAGCUCUACUUAGUGUGUCUAAAACCAGAGUUCACGAUCGCUUUCCAAACCAGCUCUUCUCCAUCUUGCAAUCUCAAAUGUGGUACCACUCAACCCUCGGCUUAUAUGUCUAUGCUAUGCCCUGUAGCUUCCAUUCCAUAACCAGUUCCAGGAUGCAUCAGACCCUACACUCACAUCUUCCUCACCAGCAGCACCCUGGUCGGACCCACUGGUAUCUUUUUGAGCUGAUGCACCAGAUGGGAUACUCUUUUCCUUCCCACCUCUGCCCUCUCCAAGCUGACAGCCAAAACAACCCCUUCAUGUUCAACUACAGAAAAUGCCCAACAUGUGUAGGGAGAACCUCUGUCUGCUGCCCGCUGUCAGUGGCAAUCAGCGCAUGGGCGGUCUCGUCUUCGUUUGUGCCCUCACCAAAACUGCUUUACUCCCCGCGGUGUUUUAAUUUUAGGUUAGAAUUAAAUAUAAAUUUUAGGUUA
RNAcentral lists this long non-coding RNA (4375 nucleotides) under Mus musculus (house mouse). Its description in RNAcentral is "zinc finger homeobox 2, opposite strand". The record is from RNAcentral. Lineage: Eukaryota; Metazoa; Chordata; Mammalia; Rodentia; Muridae.